UCCCCUAGUAACGGCGAGUGAAGCGGGAAUAGCUCAAAUUUGAAAUCUCAGCUUUGCUGCGAAUUGUAGUUUAGAGAAACGUUUUCGGGGUCGGCAGCUAGUACAAGUUCUUUGGAACAAGGCAUCAUAGAGGGUGAAAAUCCCGUCUUUGACUAGCGGCUUGAUUCCAUGUGAUACGUUUUCCAAGAGUCGGUUUGUUUGGGAAUGCAGACCAAAAUGGGUGGUAAAUACCAUCUAAAGCUAAAUAUUGGCGAGAGACCGAUAGCGAACAAGUACCGUGAGGGAAAGAUGAAAAGAACUUUGAAAAGAGAGUUAAACAGUGCGUGAAAUUGUCAAAAGGGAAACGCUUAAAACCAGUAUUGUGGGCAGUAAUUCAACCUUUGGUGCAUUUUACUGCUUGCGAGUCAACAUCAGUUUGGUUUGGAGUAAAAAGCUAGAGGAAAGUGGCCCUUGGGUGUUAUAGCCUCUAGCCAUGCUCUGGACUAGACUGAGGUCUGCAGUGUAUAACACUUGGGAUGUUGACGAAAUGGUUUUAAACGACCCGUCUUGAAACACGGACCAAGGAGUCUAACAUAUAUGCGAGUAUUUGGGUGGUAAACCCUUAUGCGUAAUGAAAGUGAAAAGGUGGGAUCCUUUGUUGGUGCACCAUCGACCGCGCUUGAUCUACGAAUCUAGGCGUGAGUAUGAGCAUACAUGUUGGGACCCGAAA
This 709-nucleotide ribosomal RNA is filed under the name uncultured fungus. RNAcentral describes it as "eukaryotic LSU rRNA". It matches the Rfam family "Eukaryotic large subunit ribosomal RNA", at positions 76 to 821 of the family's 3401-position model. Lineage: Eukaryota; Fungi. The record is from RNAcentral.